Molecule: long non-coding RNA, 726 nt
Organism: Nyctereutes procyonoides (raccoon dog)
Lineage: Eukaryota; Metazoa; Chordata; Mammalia; Carnivora; Canidae
Exons: 5
Source: RefSeq, a predicted model, not a curated record
CAGAUGGGUGCCUUCUGAGCAAAGGGCUGGAGCAAGUCCUAUGGAAGCUGUACUGGGAAGCCAGACGGAAGAGCAAAGGGAGAGGUUUUCUCCUUCCAUGGAGGAAGCAUGUGAUGCUUGGAACUAUAGCCGCUGUCUUGUGAGCAGGCGGAAACAGCCCCAAGGAUCAUGAAGAAGCUGACCCAGAUCCUGGACAUCACUCAGCAACUGAACAAAUCUUGAAAUUGCCUCUCUCAAGGUUUCUUGUUAGCCUCCUCUAGUGCCAUAGUCUCCUGCAAAAUUAAAAGCAAAACACUUCUGUGUGGUGAUGUGUUGAAUGACUACUUUUCCUGAGAUGUUGCUGGCUCGAGGAGAUAGGACCUGUGUCCACCUAGUUGGCUGCUAGAGGCUCACUCGCUAAAUCUAUUCUUCCAGGAUUGUGUGCUGACCAGAAGCAAAAUGAAACUAUUGCAGUGGCUUCUUAGACAAGCUUUGUGAGAAAAAACACAUGGUUAUCUGCAGAGUUACAAGAAAAUGUCCAGUAUCAAAUAAAUGACGGGUCAUCUGACUCCCAAACAAUAUGGCCAGAGUGUUCAUAAGAACCAAAGAAGCUGAGUCAGAUCAUUUCGAAAGGACAAAUGCAGUGCUCCUCCAAAAUCAGUAACUUGUGGAAUGUAGCAAUCUUGCCUUGUAUUUUCUCUGAGCCAAGCAGCCUGGUCCUGUCAAGCUCAUCUUUCAUCCCCUUCG